RNAcentral lists this ribosomal RNA (833 nucleotides) under marine metagenome. RNAcentral's name for it is "bacterial SSU rRNA". It matches the Rfam family "Bacterial small subunit ribosomal RNA", at positions 8 to 888 of the family's 1533-position model. The record is from RNAcentral.
AGAGUUUGAUCAUGGCUCAGAACGUACGCUGGCGGCACGCUUAACACAUGCAAGUCGAACGAAGUAGCAAUACUUAGUGGCAGACGGGUGAGUAUAAUGUGGGAAUCUGCCUUUUGGUUUAGAAUAACUCGGGGAAACUUGAGCUAAUACUGGAUAAGCCCUUACGGGGAAAGCUUUAUGCGCCAAGAGAUGAGCCCGCACUUGAUUAGCUUGUUGGUGAGGUAAAAGCUCACCAAGGCAACGAUCAAUAGCUGUUCUUAGAGGAAGACCAGCCACAUUGGGACUGAGACACGGCCCAGACUCCUACGGGAGGCAGCAGUGGGGAAUCUUGCACAAUGGGGGAAACCCUGAUGCAGCGAUGCCGCGUGAGUGAAGAAGGCCUUUGGGUUGUAAAACUCUUUCGUCGGGGAAGAAAAUGACUGUACCCGAAUAAGAAGGUCCGGCUAACUUCGUGCCAGCAGCCGCGGUAAUACGAAGGGACCUAGCGUAGUUCGGAAUUACUGGGCUUAAAGAGCUCGUAGGUGGUUAAAGAAGUUGGUGGUGAAAUCCCAAGGCUUAACCUUGGAACUGCCAUCAAAACUUUUUAGCUAGAGUAUGAUAGAGGAAAGUGGAAUUUCUAGUGUAGAGGUGAAAUUCGUAGAUAUUAGAAAGAACAUCAAAAGCGAAGGCAACUUUCUGGAUCAUUACUGACACUGAGGAGCGAAAGCAUGGGUAGCGAAGAGGAUUAGAUACCCUCGUAGUCCAUGCUGUAAACGAUGUGUGCCAGACGUUGGAAAUUUAAUUUUCAGUGUCGCAGCAAAAGCAUUAAGCACACCGCCUGGGGAGUACGACCG